CAUAGAAAGCUUAAUUUUGAACUCGGAUCUAAAGUCGUGCUCUUUAUGGUAUGAUUUCAUAUAUAUUUUUCGAGGGUUCCUUUCCUCUGUACACAUGACGGGAACAAGGAAACUAACAUUAUAUCAUCAAUGGCAGUGACUUUGAGCUUGGAGGAGGAAACCUCCAUCUCUCUCACCAGUGAUUUGAGUUUGAAGGACCUCUCUCACAUCAGCGUUUAGAGUUUGAAGAAGGUUCUCUAAUUCUCUCAUCACUGCUCUGAGUUUGAAGAAGGACCUCCCUCUCUUGUAUGCAUUGUAGUUGCAGAGGGAGAAGAAGAAGAGCGAUGAGAUAACAACAGUGGAGAGAAGGAAGAAGAAGAAGAGCGAUGAGAUAACAACAGGAGAGAGAGAGAGAGAGAGAGAGAGAGAGAGAGAGAGAGAGAGAGAGAGAGAGAGAGAGAGAGAGAGAGAGAGAGAGAA
RNAcentral lists this long non-coding RNA (459 nucleotides) under Amborella trichopoda. RNAcentral describes it as "long non-coding RNA (ATRI_LNC001510)". Lineage: Eukaryota; Viridiplantae; Streptophyta; Magnoliopsida; Amborellales; Amborellaceae. The record is from RNAcentral.